Molecule: non-coding RNA, 100 nt
Organism: Parachaetomium inaequale
Lineage: Eukaryota; Fungi; Ascomycota; Sordariomycetes; Sordariales; Chaetomiaceae
Source: the annotation of a GenBank genome assembly
UCGGGUAUGGUGUAGCGGCAACAUCGUUGACUCUCAUUGCUCCCCGAAAGGGGUUGGUGAAUGCGCUCAACAGCCCGGGGUUCGACUCCCCGUAUCCGAG